GGCUGAAACACAUCUGUUUGCGGUGGGAAUGCCAUUUUAGGCCCAUUUCUUUUGAAAGUAGGGUUGGAAUUGCCAGGGAUCAGCAGAGCUCCAAGCUCACAAAGAGGGCACUGUCUUUGAGGAGUCUUUACAUAAACCCUGCACAACCGAGGCAACAGGAGUUUGCACAGCUGCUGCUGGAAGCAAACAUGUACUUUUAGCUGACCUGGGCUGGUGACUUUGGGCGUUAAGUCUGACGCUUUCCAGAUGUAAAACCCUCUCCUUCCACAGUCCCCAAACAUUCAGUCCCCAGGUAAGAAGGAAAAUAAUAACAAUAAUAAUAACAAGAAUAAAAGGGUGCUGUAAAUGCCACACUGUAGCGUGUAUUCCAGAGUUGACUUUUAUAAAUUACAUGGUCCAGUUGGAAGGUGUGUGGCAUUAUCCUCUCCCAGGAGCUGUGUUUUGAACCACAUUUGACUCAGAGCUAAUUAGUGUUGCAUGUACAUUCAAUCCCAACUCUGGCUGAGCACCUUCUUCAGACCAGGUGGCUAAAUAUUAAGAGUUCUUUUUACCUGCUGGAUUUGGUGAAUAUGGGUCUUUGAGUAUAAGACUUCCGUGGAAUGGUCCUAUGUUGAGCCCCAGGAGCAUUCCCAAGAACAAAGGCAUCUUGCCAAAUAAUCACCAAAUUAAGCUUUGCACUUCAUGGCAAAACAGCCUUGCACAACAGGAGACAGAUUUACUGGUGAGGAUGGGAUGGGAUACUUGUAAAGUAUUCACUGCAGGACAAGCAGGGGAGGGGCUGGAGGAGGGUCUGUCCCAUGUCCUGACUGCAUCUGUGCAGGUUAUAAGCUAUGCUGCAGAAGUUGCUGAUGACUGCACAGCAGGCCCCGGGAUGACAUUUUUCACUUGACUCUCAGUAGGAAAUGGAACCUCAUCCUUGCCUCAGGUCCAGCAUAAAUUGUUCUCCUGCCCAGACGGGUAAUUUUUAACAGUAUUUCCCUUUGCAUCUCUCUGCAGCCCUUGGAUGUUGAGAAGUUCUUAGGGAGGGUGAUAGAAGGGUGUGGGGUUCCUGAAGAGGAUCGUUUAUUUAAUUCCAUUUUAUGUAGGUGUGGUAUUUAUAAAGGCUCCAAAAUUGGCAGCAAGAGAAAGACAAAUAUUCUGUUAAACAGCAGACUGCCCCUGCACAGACAGCUGCAGCCCAGCCUCUCCUCAGUCUCCUUGCCAGUUCUUUCAAGCGUGACCUGGUUUGAGGACCACCUUCAAUGAGAUCAAAAGGAUACACAUGGUACUCCAAACAGCUGUAAAAAAUGACGUGGACAGAAGCUGUGGAGGACUAGCAGCCCAAACACAAAGAGGUAACAGGACAUGGAUGCACAAGCUGGUG
This is a long non-coding RNA of Gallus gallus (chicken), 1363 nucleotides long. NCBI's taxonomy places the organism in Eukaryota, Metazoa, Chordata, Aves, Galliformes, Phasianidae. The record is from Ensembl.